UUAUAUCUCAGAUUGAUGGUUUGUCAUCUGAGGAUCCAGCUAUCGUUAAGCCUUGCGUGGUUGCUUUGCAGACUGUGACCAGUUCCAUGUACAGCUGUUUGGGCAAUGAAAAACAGGUUAACGAUUUCUUCUUAUGUUUUAUUCAUUCCACUAUUUUUUUUUGUCAUUACUUAUUACUCAUUUUAGUCUAUGUGGAUCCAGCUACCAACUGCUUAGGCACUUUUUACACUUAAAUGGCGAACAUAUAUAGCAAGUUAUAUCAUACAAUCUACAAAACUUUAUAAAAUACUUUUAAUGUCAUUAAAAUCCAAAGUUCAAAUUCUUUAAAAAAAUUAAACACCAAAUAAGGCCAUGAUAUUUUAUAAAAAAAGUAAUCAUAUGGGUGGGCCAGCUUCUGAAGUUGACAGUAGUUGAUGAUUUGAUGGAGUUAGAACAAGGACGGUGAGUGCAAGAGAAGAAGAGGAAGCCGUUGUUCACCUUUUUCUCUGUCUGGAUACUUUUAAUGUGGAAAUCGUUGCCCUUCUUUUUCUCAUAUUCUCACAAUAAUUUCAAUUUAUUUUUUUCUAAUGAAAUUUCCUUGUACACUUUUUUUGCAGGAUGAGAUUUUUGCCAAUCUUGUUUGCCUUUUUCAAAAUCAUAACAGCAAUAUACAACUUGCAGCUAAAGAAGCUAUACUGCAAAUAAAUGUGUGUUUCUUCUCCGAAUUUUUUUGUUAUAUGCAUUUUUUUACUCGGUUGGUUUUCCUUUUUUUUGCAACUUACAUGUGAUUAUUUGUCAAUGCCAUUUACCAGGUCAGUUAUUUAUCUUUUGUCAAACUUUUCGAGGGAAUCCUUUCUAAUAUUCACGAAGUUGUUUUUUCUGCAAAGAAAAGAAAAAAAUCACAUGUUUUCUCUUUGGAAAGAUUGAUCCGAGAGCAGAAUACGCCAAUUUGUUUUCUCAAGGCAUUGCUUGAUAUAUUGUUUUUAAAGAAAGAUAUACAAAACAGGUUUUUAAAGAAAGAUAUUUAGCAUUUGUCUUCAUAUGUUUACACAAUUAUAAUUUUCGGUAUUGAUUGGGUUUUUCUGAUUUGCAUUUUUCCAUUUGAUAGAAAAUCCAUGAUUGGACCACUUUUUAAGCUUCUUAAGGAACUCUUCUCUAGCAAGAUCUCUCAACUUUUUGAGGAAACAAUUGAAGCUAAAUCAUUGAAAUUUGAUACAUCCAACAGUGCAUUAGUGGAUGCACAGCAAAUGACAAUUACAAUACUAGAAAACAUCAGCAAUUCAUUAUCGCCCGAUGUAUCUGUAAGAAUUGAAAUUAACUGUUUCUUUUCUUUUUCAUACUAACUCUCAUUUAAAUAUUUUUAUGUUUUUUAAACAUACAUGUAUGUGUUGUUUGUGUUUUAGGUUGAUAUGUUUAACAAAGAAAAUGUUAAUCUGCUUAUUAAUUGUGCUCGGUCUACUGAGAAUACAGUGACACACAAUCAUAUUUUCUUGCUUUUGGGCGCCAUUACAAAAAUUUCUUCUGAAUGUGUCUCUGAAUACAUGCCAGAUCUGUUGGCUAUUAUUGGAUUAUCUGCUACAAAACAGGUUAUUUUCUUGUUUAUUUUUCCUAAUAAACCUUUUUUAUAUAUAGUUACAAGUUUACAACUCUUAUUUAUAAUUUUUUUUAAAUCUAAAACAUUGUAAACACCACCAACCUUUAUAUUCUGAUAAUCUGAUUAUGAAAAUAAAAAAUAUGCAACUCACUUUUUGUGGAGUCGUGGGACUUACAUGAUGAUAUGUUUAUGCCUCUAAUCAAUAUUCAAAAUGACAGAAUGACAGACAUUCCCAACGUGUAUUAGAAGAUUUGAUAUCGAUGCUUGUUCCAUGCUGGAUAUCAAGAACUGAUGGCGCAAAAGAUCUUCUUAUGGUACUAUCUUUUCUUUUAU
Molecule: long non-coding RNA, 1906 nt
Filed under: Zostera marina
Lineage: Eukaryota; Viridiplantae; Streptophyta; Magnoliopsida; Alismatales; Zosteraceae
Description: long non-coding RNA (ZMAR_LNC004426)
Source: RNAcentral